RNAcentral lists this ribosomal RNA (257 nucleotides) under uncultured bacterium. Its description in RNAcentral is "partial 16S ribosomal RNA". It matches the Rfam family "Bacterial small subunit ribosomal RNA", at positions 524 to 777 of the family's 1533-position model. The record is from RNAcentral.
UACAGAGGGUGCGAGCGUUGUCCGGAAUCACUGGGCGUAAAGGGCGCGUAGGUGGUGGCUUAAGCGUGCGGUGAAAGCUCGGAGCUCAACUCCGAGUCGGCCGUGCGAACUGGGCUCACUGGAGCAUAGUAGAGGCAGGUGGAAUUCCGGGUGUAGCGGUGGAAUGCGUAGAGAUCCGGAAGAACACCGGUGGCGAAGGCGGCCUGCUGGGCUAUGGGCUGACACUGAGGCGCGGACAGCGUGGGGAGCAAACAGGG